Molecule: ribosomal RNA, 625 nt
Filed under: Salmonella enterica
Lineage: Bacteria; Pseudomonadati; Pseudomonadota; Gammaproteobacteria; Enterobacterales; Enterobacteriaceae
Also listed under: 1 other name
Description: partial 23S ribosomal RNA
Rfam family: Bacterial large subunit ribosomal RNA
Source: RNAcentral
GCGCCUCGUGAAUUCAUCUCCGGGGGUAGAGCACUGUUUCGGCUAGGGGGCCAUCCCGGCUUACCAACCCGAUGCAAACUGCGAAUACCGGAGAAUGUUAUCACGGGAGACACACGGCGGGUGCUAACGUCCGUCGUGAAGAGGGAAACAACCCAGACCGCCAGCUAAGGUCCCAAAGUCAUGGUUAAGUGGGAAACGAUGUGGGAAGGCCCAGACAGCCAGGAUGUUGGCUUAGAAGCAGCCAUCAUUUAAAGAAAGCGUAAUAGCUCACUGGUCGAGUCGGCCUGCGCGGAAGAUGUAACGGGGCUAAACCAUGCACCGAAGCUGCGGCAGCGACGCUGAUGCGUUGUUGGGUAGGGGAGCGUUCUGUAAGCCUGCGAAGGUGGCCUGUGAGGGUUGCUGGAGGUAUCAGAAGUGCGAAUGCUGACAUAAGUAACGAUAAAGCGGGUGAAAAGCCCGCUCGCCGGAAGACCAAGGGUUCCUGUCCAACGUUAAUCGGGGCAGGGUGAGUCGACCCCUAAGGCGAGGCCGAAAGGCGUAGUCGAUGGGAAACGGGUUAAUAUUCCCGUACUUGGUGUUACUGCGAAGGGGGGACGGAGAAGGCUAUGUUGGCCGGGCGACGGUU